This 769-nucleotide long non-coding RNA is filed under the name Mytilus galloprovincialis (Mediterranean mussel). The record is from RNAcentral. Lineage: Eukaryota; Metazoa; Mollusca; Bivalvia; Mytilida; Mytilidae.
CCGUCUGAUAUGAAAGUGGUUGCAUUUUUGUUUAUUUUUAAUAUUUAAAUUGUAUUCAUUCUCAACCUUUAUUUACAUUAUGUUAAGAAUGAACACAGAUGCGGCCACUUUCACUUUUAAAUUAAAUAUCUGAAAAAUGACAUAGCAAAGAAGAAUACGGGAUAAUUUGUCAGGAUAGGGUAAAAUGUCUUCCUGUUGACUGAGUACCAUGUGAACUAUCCUUAAAAUCUGGCUUUCCGUGUCUGUCUAGUUCACAGUAAGGGUCUUAUUUAAUGUACUGUUCCAGUUUUGAUAUGCAUGAGAUAUUGUCCCCCAUCAAGGUCACAAACAGCCAUACAAUGUCUUAUAUGUCAUAACAAGUUAUUUACCAGCUCGAAACCUUUUUGAGUAAACCGACAAACAAACAUGUUGUUACUUUUUUUGUUUUUUUUUUUUUUUUGUUUGUUUUUUUGUUUUUGUUGUAAUUUACCCUUCCGGAGCACCUGAGAUCACCCCUAGUUUUUUGGUGGGGUUCGUGUUGUUUAUUCUUUACACAAUGUUAGUUUUCUGUGUUGUGUCAUGUGUGCUGUUGUUUGUUUGUCUUUUUCAUUUUUAGCCAUGGCGUUGUCAGUUUGUUUUAGAUUUAUGAGUUUGACUGUCCCUUUGGUAUCUUUCGUUCCUCUUUUUUUGUAAUAUUUGAGAUGAAACUGAACCAGUACUGAACAAGCCAUUUACAGGUAAUUACACGUUCAUCAGACAUUUUAAACAGUCAGGUCAGGAUAAAAGCUCC